GAUCAAGUUACUAAGGGUUUACGAAGGAUGGCUUGGCACAGAUAGGCGAUGAAGGACGUGGUAAGCUGCGAUAAGCUGCGGUGAGUUGCAAACAAACUUUGACCCGCAGGUGUCCGAAUGGGGGAACCCAGUCCGCGUUAUGGCGGAUUACUCUGAAGUGAAUACAUAGCUUCAGGAGAGCUAAACCGAGGGAAUUGAAACAUCUUAGUACCUCGAGGAAAAGAAAAUAAUAAUGAUUCCCUAAGUAGCGGCGAGCGAACGGGGAAAAGCCUAAACUGGGUGUGUGUAAGUCUGUAUGCGUUGCAUAUCCAGGGUUGUAGGAUCGAGCCUGACUAAAGUACAGUUUAGUCGCCUUGCAUGUUUUUAUAAUUAAAUGAUCUGGGAAGGUCAACCAAAGAAGGUGAUAGUCCUGUAAGUGAAAUAAAAAUAUGAUGGGUGGGUUUGACACCUGAUUAAUACGGGACACGAGAAACCCCGUACGAAACUGCCUCGACCACGAGGUAAGGCUAAAUACUAAUCUGUGACCGAUAGUGAAGUAGUACCGUGAGGGAAAGCUGAAAAGUACGCCGGUGAGGCGAGUGAAAUAGUACCUGAAAUCGUAUAACCUACAAACUGUGGAAGGCCUAUGUUCACCUUCGGGUGAAAAUGGCUAACUGCGUACCUUUUGCAUAAUGGUCCAACGAGUUUUUGUACGAUGCAAGCUUAAGAUUGUUGACAAUCGCAGGCGUAGCGAAAGCGAGUCUUAAAAGGGCGUUUUAGUAUCGUGUAAUAGACCCGAAACUGAGUGAUCUAUCCAUGGCCAGGAUGAAGGUAGCGUAAAAGCUACUGGAGGUCCGAACCCAACUACGUUGAAAAGUGGUGGGAUGAGCUGUGGAUCGGAGUGAAAGGCUAAUCAAACUCAGAGAUAGCUGGUUCUCCCCGAAAUAGCUUUAGGGCUAGCCUCAUAAAAUGGGCAUUGGGGGUAGAGUACUGAAUGGGCUAGGGGGCUUACCCGCCUACCGAACCCAAUCAAACUCCGAAUACCAAUGUUCCUUACUAUGGGAGUCAGACUAUGGGAGAUAAGUUUCAUAGUCGAGAGGGAUACAGCCCAGAUCACCGAUUAAGGUCCCUAAAUUCUAGCUAAGUGGUAAAGGAUGUGAAACUUCGAAGACAACCAGGAUGUUGGCUUAGAGGCAGCCACCAUUUAAAGAGUGCGUAAUAGCUCACUGGUCAAGUGGUUUUGCGCCGAUAAUGAUCGGGGCUCAAGCUAGAUACCGAAGUCGUGGAAUUCAUUACUUGUAAUGGAUUGGUAGGGGAGCUUUCUGUUCAGCAGUGAAGCGGUAGUGUAAACAGCCGUGGAGCGUACAGAAGUGAGAAUGUAUGGAAUGAGUAGCGAAAAAACUCGCGAGAAACGAGUUCGCCGAAAAUCUAAGGUUUCCUGGGGAAGGUUAAUCCGCCCAGGGUAAGUCGACCCCUAAGACGAGGCCGAAAGGCGUAGCCGAUGGGAAGCUGGUUAAUAUUCCAGCACCAGUUACUUAGUGUUAUAAAGCGGG
Molecule: ribosomal RNA, 1532 nt
Filed under: Patescibacteria group bacterium
Lineage: Bacteria
Description: partial 23S ribosomal RNA
Rfam family: Bacterial large subunit ribosomal RNA
Source: RNAcentral